RNAcentral lists this ribosomal RNA (131 nucleotides) under Clostridioides difficile. RNAcentral's name for it is "partial 23S ribosomal RNA". It matches the Rfam family "Bacterial large subunit ribosomal RNA", at positions 2799 to 2925 of the family's 2925-position model. Lineage: Bacteria; Bacillati; Bacillota; Clostridia; Peptostreptococcales; Peptostreptococcaceae. The record is from RNAcentral.
UCAAGAUAAGAUUUCCCACCGUAAGGGUAAGACCCCAGAAAGACUAUCUGGUUGAUAGGUCGAAGGUGUAAGUGCAGCAAUGUAUUUAGCUUAUCGAUACUAAUAGGUCGAGGACUUGACCAAUAUUUAUU